UAACACAUGCAAGUCGAACGAUGAACCGGCUUCGGCCGGGGAUUAGUGGCGAACGGGUGAGUAACACGUGGGCAAUCUGCCCUGCACUCUGGGACAAGCCCUGGAAACGGGGUCUAAUACCGGAUACUGAUUACCUUGGGCAUCCUUGGUGAUCGAAAGCUCCGGCGGUGCAGGAUGAGCCCGCGGCCUAUCAGCUUGUUGGUGAGGUAACGGCUCACCAAGGCGACGACGGGUAGCCGGCCUGAGAGGGCGACCGGCCACACUGGGACUGAGACACGGCCCAGACUCCUACGGGAGGCAGCAGUGGGGAAUAUUGCACAAUGGGCGAAAGCCUGAUGCAGCGACGCCGCGUGAGGGAUGACGGCCUUCGGGUUGUAAACC
RNAcentral lists this ribosomal RNA (381 nucleotides) under Streptomycetaceae bacterium ACTS49. Its description in RNAcentral is "bacterial SSU rRNA". It matches the Rfam family "Bacterial small subunit ribosomal RNA", at positions 49 to 431 of the family's 1533-position model. The record is from RNAcentral. Lineage: Bacteria; Bacillati; Actinomycetota; Actinomycetes; Kitasatosporales; Streptomycetaceae.